UAAGCUAUGGAAGAUUUCUCGCUGAUGUU
This 29-nucleotide non-coding RNA is filed under the name Rattus norvegicus (Norway rat). The record is from RNAcentral. Lineage: Eukaryota; Metazoa; Chordata; Mammalia; Rodentia; Muridae.